RNAcentral lists this transfer RNA (73 nucleotides) under Danionella translucida. It matches the Rfam family "tRNA". Rfam says of the family: Transfer RNA (tRNA) molecules are approximately 80 nucleotides in length. The record is from Rfam by way of RNAcentral. RNAcentral also lists the same sequence under 1 other name. Lineage: Eukaryota; Metazoa; Chordata; Actinopteri; Cypriniformes; Danionidae.
GCCCAGAUAGCUCAGACAGUAGAGCAUAAGACUUUUAAUCUAAUGGUCCAGGGUUCAAGUCCUUGUUUGGUCA